Molecule: small nuclear RNA, 106 nt
Organism: Mesocricetus auratus (golden hamster)
Lineage: Eukaryota; Metazoa; Chordata; Mammalia; Rodentia; Cricetidae
Source: Ensembl
GUGCUUGCUUCAGCAACACACAUACUAAAUUGGAAUGCUACAGAGAAGAUUAGCAUGGCCUCUGCGCAAGGAUGAAAUGCAAAUUCGUGAAGUGUUCCAUAUUUUU